This 425-nucleotide ribosomal RNA is filed under the name uncultured bacterium. RNAcentral describes it as "partial 16S ribosomal RNA". It matches the Rfam family "Bacterial small subunit ribosomal RNA", at positions 354 to 796 of the family's 1533-position model. The record is from RNAcentral.
GUGGGGAAUCUUAGACAAUGGGCGCAAGCCUGAUCUAGCCAUGCCGCGUGAGCGAUGAAGGCCUUAGGGUUGUAAAGCUCUUUCGUGGGGGAAGAUAAUGACUGUACCCCAAGAAGAAGCCCCGGCUAACUCCGUGCCAGCAGCCGCGGUAAUACGGAGGGGGCUAGCGUUGCUCGGAUUUACUGGGCGUAAAGGGCGCGUAGGCGGACAUUUAAGUCAGGGGUGAAAUCCCGGGGCUCAACCUCGGAACUGCCUUUGAUACUGGGUGUCUUGAGUAUGAGAGAGGUGUGUGGAACUCCGAGUGUAGAGGUGAAAUUCGUAGAUAUUCGGAAGAACACCAGUGGCGAAGGCGGCUCACUGGCUCGAUACUGACGCUGAGGUGCGAAAGCGUGGGGAGCAAACAGGAUUAGAUACCCGUGUAGUCC